UACGUAGGUGACAAGCGUUAUCCGGAUUUACUGGGCGUAAAGCGCACGCAGGCGGUCGGAUAAGUCCGAUGUGAAACCUUUCAGCUUAACUGGAAGAAGUCGUUGGAUACUGUCUGACUUGAGGCGAUGAGAGGAAUGCAGAAUUCCCGGUGUAGUGGUGGAAUGCGUAGAGAUCGGGAGGAAUAUCUGUGGCGAAAGCGGCAUUCUGGCAUUUGCCUGACGCUCAUGUGCGAAAGCGUGGGGAGCGAACGGG
RNAcentral lists this ribosomal RNA (253 nucleotides) under uncultured bacterium. RNAcentral's name for it is "partial 16S ribosomal RNA". It matches the Rfam family "Bacterial small subunit ribosomal RNA", at positions 524 to 776 of the family's 1533-position model. The record is from RNAcentral.